Molecule: long non-coding RNA, 245 nt
Organism: Calidris pugnax (ruff)
Lineage: Eukaryota; Metazoa; Chordata; Aves; Charadriiformes; Scolopacidae
Exons: 3
Source: RefSeq, a predicted model, not a curated record
CGGAGCCAGCGGCAGAGGUGGGGUACGGAAGAUCCAGGCGAUUAUCGAAGGAGGCUUUGCUAAAGACGGGAAGGAAAGACAAGAGGAUCCAUCCCCAAGACAAAAGCUGGCACUUCCAGGUAGAUUUUUCAUUGUCCUCUCCUGUCUUCUGAACCCGUGAAUACUUUUUGCAUGAAGACUUGAAGCAGCUGGGAGGCCAAGAUAUCGGCCAAGAAAAGCUACAAGGAACAGAGCCUUGCACGUUC